RNAcentral lists this transfer RNA (72 nucleotides) under Cavia porcellus (domestic guinea pig). It matches the Rfam family "tRNA". From Rfam's summary of the family: Transfer RNA (tRNA) molecules are approximately 80 nucleotides in length. Their secondary structure includes four short double-helical elements and three loops (D, anti-codon, and T loops). Further hydrogen bonds mediate the characteristic L-shaped molecular structure. tRNAs have two regions of fundamental functional importance: the anti-codon, which is responsible for specific mRNA codon recognition, and the 3' end, to which the tRNAs corresponding amino acid is attached (by aminoacyl-tRNA synthetases). tRNAs cope with the degeneracy of the genetic code in two manners: having more than one tRNA (with a specific anti-codon) for a particular amino acid; and 'wobble' base-pairing, i.e. permitting non-standard base-pairing at the 3rd anti-codon position. Lineage: Eukaryota; Metazoa; Chordata; Mammalia; Rodentia; Caviidae. The record is from Rfam by way of RNAcentral.
AGGGGUGCAGCUCAGUGGUAGAGCACCUGCUUAGUUUAUAUAAGGCCCUGGGUUCAAUUCCCAGCACCACAA